AAAGAGCAAAGUAAAUUUCAGAAACAGGCUUUUGGGUUCUACAAGUUCUUUCGAAACAGAAGAGAAGAGUGAACAAAGAUGAGUGAUGAGAUUGAUAAGCUGCGUUAAGGAAUAGGCUGUUUAGUUGGUGCAGCACUGUCGUAUCUUCUUGGAGAGGAAUCUCGAAUAAAUGCUGAAUCGCUUGGGAGGGUUUUUUGCGUAGCUCAAAUAAAGGAUUUGUCACUGUUAUUUGAUCAUACGUCCAUAGUGUUGCCUUUGAUCAUCACUGUAUCUGGAAUAGUCGGCUCGAACAGGGCACUUAAGUUGGAGUCUAGCAAAGCCAAGGCCGUGAUUCUUCAUGAGGCGGUGAAAUAAUCUACAAUCUUUAGUCAUUACUGAAAAAUCCGAUUUGUCUACGUGUUUUUGGAUUUUAAUUUAAUUUCUGAAACAAAUAAAUUUGGAUUUGGAUAUCUGGUAUUUUGAACUGAAAUCCGAUCUGAAUCCAAAAUAUGAUAUGGACUCAAUAUUAAACCCGAAAAAUUCCAGUAGUAGUAUACAUAUAUAUUUAUAUUGGUUGGUUUUAUUACUCCUAAAGUAUUGUUUAAAUUUUAUUUUUUGUGUAAUUCUGAUUAAAAAUCAAAACUAUUUAUUGUUUGCUUGAUCCAGAC
Molecule: long non-coding RNA, 647 nt
Organism: Daucus carota subsp. sativus
Lineage: Eukaryota; Viridiplantae; Streptophyta; Magnoliopsida; Apiales; Apiaceae
Exons: 3
Source: RefSeq, a predicted model, not a curated record